RNAcentral lists this ribosomal RNA (253 nucleotides) under uncultured bacterium. RNAcentral's name for it is "partial 16S ribosomal RNA". It matches the Rfam family "Bacterial small subunit ribosomal RNA", at positions 524 to 776 of the family's 1533-position model. The record is from RNAcentral.
UACGAAGGGGGCGAGCGUUGUUCGGAAUUACUGGGCGUAAAGGGCGCGCAGGCGGCUCUGAAAGUCAGAUGUGAAAGCCCCGGGCUUAACCUGGGAACUGCAUUUGAUACUCUAGAGCUUGAGUACGGGAGAGGAGAGUGGAAUUCCCAGUGUAGAGGUGAAAUUCGUAGAUAUUGGGAAGAACACCGGUGGCGAAGGCGGCUCUCUGGACACGUAUUGACGCUGAGGUGCGAAAGCGUGGGGAGCAAACAGG